Molecule: ribosomal RNA, 269 nt
Filed under: uncultured bacterium
Lineage: Bacteria
Description: partial 16S ribosomal RNA
Rfam family: Bacterial small subunit ribosomal RNA
Source: RNAcentral
UUAUUUUAGCGGCGGACGGGUGAGUAACGUGUGGGUAACCUGCCUUUUACUGUGGAAUAAUCGUUGGAAACGACGACUAAUACCGCAUACGGUUCUUGGAAGGCAUCUUCUAAGAAAGAAAGGAGUAAUUCGGUAAAAGAUGGGCCCGCAUCUGAUUAGCUAGUUGGUGAGAUAAUAGCCCACCAAGGCAACGAUCAGUAGCCGACCUGAGAGGGUGACCGGCCACAUUGGGACUGAGACACGGCCCAAACUCCUACGGGAGGCAGCAG